AACGAACGCUGGCGGCGCGCCUAACACAUGCAAGUCGGAACGAGAAUCCGGGGCAACCCGGUAGUAAAGUGGCAAACGGGUGAGGGAAUACAUGGGGUAACCUACCCUUGAGAAGGGAAUAACCCGCCGAAAGGUGAGCUAAUACCCUAUACGCUAUCUUUUUUUCGAAAGGAUAGGAAAGCCGGGUCGAGGACCUGGUACUCAAGGAGGGGCUCAUGUCCUAUCAGCUUGUUGGUGGGGUAACGGCCUACCAAGGCUACGACGGGUAGCUGGUCUGAGAGGAUGAUCGAGCCACACUGGGCACCUGAGAUACGGGCCAGACUCCUACGGGAGGCAGCAGUGAGGAAUAUUGCGCAAUGGGCGAAAGCCUGACGCAGCGACGCCGC
This 386-nucleotide ribosomal RNA is filed under the name uncultured bacterium. Its description in RNAcentral is "bacterial SSU rRNA". It matches the Rfam family "Bacterial small subunit ribosomal RNA", at positions 29 to 400 of the family's 1533-position model. The record is from RNAcentral.